This 465-nucleotide ribosomal RNA is filed under the name uncultured bacterium. Its description in RNAcentral is "partial 16S ribosomal RNA". It matches the Rfam family "Bacterial small subunit ribosomal RNA", at positions 28 to 507 of the family's 1533-position model. The record is from RNAcentral.
GACGAACGCUGGCGGCGUGCUUAACACAUGCAAGUCGAACGGAAAGGCCCUGCUUGCAGGGUACUCGAGUGGCGAACGGGUGAGUAACACGUGGGUGAUCUGCCCUGCACUUCGGGAUAAGCCUGGGAAACUGGGUCUAAUACCGGAUAGGAGCCAUUUUUAGUGUGAUGGUUGGAAAGUUUUUUCGGUGUAGGAUGAGCUCGCGGCCUAUCAGCUUGUUGGUGGGGUAAUGGCCUACCAAGGCGGCGACGGGGAGCCGGCCUGAGAGGGUGGACGGCCACAGUGGGACUGAGAGACGGCCCAGACGCCGACGGGAGGCAGCAGUGGGGAAUAUUGCACAAUGGGCGCAAGCCUGAUGCAGCGACGCCGCGGGGGGGAUGACGGCCUUCGGGUUGGAAACGCCUUUCGCUAGGGACGGAGCUUUUUGUGACGGUACCUAGAUAAGAAGCACCGGCUAACUACGUG